GCGGCCGUAGUAUAGGGGUAGUACGGGACCUUGCCAAGGUCCAGGCGUGGGUUCGAGUCCCAUCGGCCGCUCCA
This 74-nucleotide transfer RNA is filed under the name Candidatus Dormiibacterota bacterium. RNAcentral's name for it is "tRNA-Gly". It matches the Rfam family "tRNA". From Rfam's summary of the family: Transfer RNA (tRNA) molecules are approximately 80 nucleotides in length. Lineage: Bacteria; Bacillati; Candidatus Dormiibacterota. The record is from RNAcentral. RNAcentral also lists the same sequence under 8 other names.